Molecule: transfer RNA, 81 nt
Filed under: Trichonephila clavata
Lineage: Eukaryota; Metazoa; Arthropoda; Arachnida; Araneae; Nephilidae
Description: tRNA-Arg
Rfam family: tRNA (bases 10-81)
About the family: Transfer RNA (tRNA) molecules are approximately 80 nucleotides in length. Their secondary structure includes four short double-helical elements and three loops (D, anti-codon, and T loops).
Source: RNAcentral
UUCUUUGUGUUCCUGUGGCACAAUGGAUAGCGGGUUGGACUUCUAAUCCAAAGGUCGUGGGUUCAAAUCCCACCUAAGAAA